AGAGUUUGAUCAUGGCUCAGGAUGAACGCUAGCUACAGGCUUAACACAUGCAAGUCGAGGGGAAACGAUAUUGGAAGCUUGCUUCCGAUAGGCGUCGACCGGCGCACGGGUGAGUAACGCGUAUCCAACCUGCCCACCACUUGGGGGAUAACCUUGCGAAAGUAAGACUAAUACCCAAUGACGUCUCUAGAAGACAUCUGAAAGAGAUUAAAGAUUUAUCGGUGAUAGGAUGGGGAUGCGUCUGAUUAGCUUGUUGGCGGGUAACGGCCACCAAGGCUACGAUCAGUAGGGGGUUCUGAGAGGAACGGUCCCCACAUUGGAACUGAGACACGGUCCAAACUCCUACGGGAGGGA
RNAcentral lists this ribosomal RNA (354 nucleotides) under uncultured bacterium. Its description in RNAcentral is "bacterial SSU rRNA". It matches the Rfam family "Bacterial small subunit ribosomal RNA", at positions 8 to 350 of the family's 1533-position model. The record is from RNAcentral.